This 7712-nucleotide long non-coding RNA is filed under the name Zea mays. RNAcentral's name for it is "long non-coding RNA (ZMAY_LNC000227)". Lineage: Eukaryota; Viridiplantae; Streptophyta; Magnoliopsida; Poales; Poaceae. The record is from RNAcentral.
CCAGAGAGGGCACAUGUGCCUCAAUUGGCCUAUAGCAUAGCGACUCAUUAUCCUUCCACCGCUGGUGGCGGGCGGUACUCGCUGCUCUGUGAAGCCAACCUCACGCAAUGUCCGCCACUUUAGGUGUUGGGAUGCAAAGGCUUUCGCCAAGGCAUCCGAAACCCACUACACAACUUGGAAUGGGUGGUCCACAGUUUGUAGCACUAGACCCAGGCACAUGCACCACAAUUAACAUUCACACUACCUUAUUGCCCCCGCUCGGGUUACAAGCAAUCGCUACUUGCUCAGCGAGUGAGGGGGUUCAAGACUACCUAUUUAAGGUGGUGUUGUACUGUAUGAGCCGGCGGUGUGGUAUUUACCAACUACAAAUAGUGUCAUGCAUGUGACUUGCUAGUUGACAAUGUCUGUUGUCGAGCUAGAUGUGGGCUAUGGAUGAAGCACAUUAGGAUAUAGUAGGCCUAUUUUGUUUUUUGUUGUUUUUGGGACACUAUGGACUUUAUGUUGAUGUUGUGAAAUUUUUUCUUGUGUUUCCUUUUCCUACGAUGUGGAAAGUGGGUGCGUCAGAGAAGAAAGAAAGAGUGGCUAGCAUUGAUUUUACGUCAUACCGUUGAGAACACUAAUCAGAAGCAGAAGCAACAAUAUUUCAUACAUAUACAACACUUGUAAUCCAUAUAAACAACUUUCCUUUAAAAUAUAAGAUAAACCACAUGAUUUAUAUCCUGGGUCGGCUAUCUCCACAAAGGGCAAGAAAACGCUCCAAGUUUGUAGUAUAGAACUAAAAGUGUCGAUUCUCACGAUUUCUUCCCGACAUAUACAAACUAGACAGUAAUCACAUAAAAUAAAGAAAUAUGUGUUAACAAGAACUUAUACCAUGUAUUUCAACAUAUAGAUUGUUGAUUAUUAUGGUAGAUUAUAUAAAAUAGGGGUUCCCGAAGCAAUACAUAAAAACAAGAGCAUUAAAAUUUCCUUUUCAGAUUUGGCUAUCUGGUAAAAGGAGUUGGAGUAACUGAGUUUCCAAAUUUGUGCCGUAGCUCUAUAGAAGGAAUAUAAAUACGUUGGAAAAAUUCUAUAAGGAAAGGUUUAAUACAAGUAGGGCUAAGAAAAACUCAAUGAGGCUUUGGUCGCAUGGUCACAAAACUUGAGACAAGAAACACGAAGACACCAAGGUAAUUAGUAUGAGAGUUUUCCAAAUUUGGUGUCUUGAUGUAGAAAAAUAAAUAUAUGAAAAACUUGUUUUUUCGCAAGGCAUGGAUAAAUAAGUGGGGGUGAGCAAUAAAUUUCAUCCUUGAUUUAGAAGGAAUAAAUAUAUCACUAAAUACGUUUUUUCACAAUGCCAAGUUAAUCAGGUGGGACCGAGAAACAAUUCUAGCGAGGCUAGGUUGUACUAGCCCAAAACUACAUACUACAGAGGAAAAAUGAAGAAAAUGAUGGUCUACCAAAUAUGGCGCAUGAGCCUUAAGGUGCACCUAGAGGGAAGUAGAAGAAAUAAAUAUAUAAUAGCAUAUGUUUUUCGCAAUGCAAGGUAAAGUGUAGAUGUGCUCUAACUAGGCUUAGAUUGCAGCGACACAUUAUGCAUCUACAAGGCUUGGUUGCACAUGGAAAAAGAUAGAGAGAGAAAUGUAGACGCAGGACCGAGAGAAAAACAUUCAAUGAGACGUGAUUGCACGGACAUAGAACUAGAUAUAAGACAAGAGUUAAAGAAAAAUAAAGGAACUAAAUUUUCUUCUGCACACUAAGCAUGAAUGGAGUUGUAGUAUCUGAGAUCAAAAUUUAAUUUAUUCCAAGAUGCAGAACAAAAACGUGAUACUCGUAAUGGUUACAUAGGAACAAAAGUAGAUAAGAAAAAUAGCAAAAAGAUAGUGGUCUACCAGAGAGGGCACAUGUGCCUCAAUUGGCCUAUAGCAUAGCGACUCAUUAUCCUUCCACCGCUGGUGGCGGGCGGUACUCGCUGCUCUGUGAAGCCAGCCUCACGCAAUGUCCGCCACUUUAGGUGUUGGGAUGCAAAGGCUUUCGCCAAGGCAUCCGAAACCCACUACACAACUUGGAAUGGGUGUUCCACAAUUUGUAGCACUAGACCCAGGCACAUGCACCACAAUUGACAUCCACACUACCUUAUUGCCUCCGCUCGGGUUACAAGCAAUCGCUACUUGCUCAGCGAGUGAGGGGGUUCAAGACUACCUAUUUGAGGUGGUGUUGUACUCUAUGAGCCGGCGGUGUGGUAUUUACCAACUACAAAUAGUGUCAUGCAUGUGACUUGCUAGUUGACAAUGUCUGUUGUCGAGCUAGAUGUGGGCUAUGGAUGAAGCACAUUAGGAUAUAGUAGGCCUAUUUUGUUUUUUGUUGUUUUUGGGCCACUAUGGACUUUAUGUUGAUGUUGUGAAAUUUUUUCUUGUGUUUCCUCUUCAUACGAUGUGGAAAGUGGGUGCCGUCAGAGAAGAAAGAAAGAGCGGCUAGCAUUGAUUUUACGUCAUACCAUUGAGAACACUAAUUAGAAGCAGAAGCAACAAUAUUUCAUACAUAUACAACACUUGUAAUCCAUAUAAACAACAUUCCUUUAAAAUAUAAUAUAAACCACAUGAUUUAUAUCCUGGGUCAGCUAUCUCCACAAAGGGCAAGAAAACGCUCCAAGUUUGUAGUAUAGAACUAAAAGUGUCGAUUCUCACGAUUUCUUCCCGACAUAUACAAACUAGACAGUAAUCACAUAAAAUAAAGAAAUAUGUGUUAACACGAACUUAUAACAUGUAUUUCAACAUAUAGAUUGUUGAUUAUUAUGGUAGAUUAUAUAAAAUAGGGGUUCCCGAAGAAAUACAUAAAAACAAGAGCAUUAAAAUUUCCUUUUCAGAUCUGGCUAUCUGGUAAAAGGAGUUGGAGUAACUGAGUUUCCAAAUUUGUGACGUAGCUCUAUAGAAGGAAUAUAAAUACGUUGGAAAAAUUCUACAAGGAAAGGUUUAAUACAAGUAGGGCUAAGAAAAACUCAAUGAGGCUUUGGUCGCAUGGUCACAAAACUUGAGACAAGAAACACGAAGACACCAAGGUAAUUAGUAUGAGAGUUUUCCAAAUUUGGUGUCUUGAUGUAGAAAAAAUAAAUAUAUGACAAACUUGUUUUUUCGCAAGGCAUGGAUAAAUAAGUGGGGGCGAGCAAUAAAUUUCAUCCUAGAUUUAGAAGGAAUAAAUAUAUCACUAAAUACGUUUUUUCAUAAUGCCAAGUUAAUCAGGUGGGAGCGAGAAACAAUUCUAGCGAGGUUAGGUUGUACUAGCCCAAAACUACAUACAACAGAGGAAAAAUGAAGAAAAUGAUGGUCUACCAAAUAUGGCGCAUGAGCCUUAAGGUGCACGUAGAGGGAAGUAUAAGAAAUAAAUAUAUAAUAGCAUAUGUUUUUCGCAAUGCAAGGUAAAGUGUAGAUGUGCUCUAACUGGGCUUAGAUUGCAGCGACACAUUAUGCAUCUACAAGGCUUGGUUGCACAUGGAAAAAGAUAGAGAGAGAAAUGUAGACACAGGACCGGGAGAAAAACAUUCAAUGAGACAUGAUUGCACGGACAUAGAACUAGAUAUAAGACAAGAGUUAAAGAAAAAUAAAGGAACUAAAUUUUCUUCUACACACUCAGCAUGAAUGGAGUUGUAGUAUCUGAGAUCAAAAUUUAAUUUAUUCCAAGAUGCAGAACAAAAACGUGAUACUCGUAAUGGUUACAUAGGAACAAAAGUAGAUAAGAAAAAUAGCAAAAAGAUAGUGGUCUACCAGAGAGGGCACAUGUGCCUCAAUUGGCCUAUAGCAUAGCGACUCAUUAUCCUUCCACCGCUGGUGGCGGGCGGUACUCGCUGCUCUGUGAAGCCAGCCUCACGCAAUGUCCGCCACUUUAGGUGUUGGGAUGCAAAGGCUUUCGCCAAGGCAUCCGAAACCCACUACACAACUUGGAAUGGGUGUUCCACAGUUUGUAGCACUAGACCAUGGCACAUGCACCACAAUUGACAUCCACACUACCUUAUUGCCCCCGCUCGGGUUACAAGCAAUCACUACUUGCUCAUCAAGUGAGGGGGUUCAAGACUACCUAUUUAAGGUGGUGUUGUACUCUAUGAGCCGACGGUGUGGUAUUUACCAACUACAAAUAGUGUCAUGCAUGUGACUUGCUAGUUGACAAUGUCUGUUGUCGAGCUAGAUGUGGGCUAUGGAUGAAGCACAUUAGGAUAUAGUAGGCCUAUUUUGUUUUUUGUUGUUUUUGGGCCACUAUGGACUUUAUGUUGACGUUGUGAAAUUUUUUCUUGUGUUUCCUCUUCCUACGAUGUGGAAAGUGGGUGCCGUCAGAGAAGAAAGAAAGAGUGGCUAGCAUUGAUUUUACGUCAUACCAUUGAGAACACUAAUCAGAAGCAGAAGCAACAAUAUUUCAUACAUAUACAACACUUGUAAUCCAUAUAAACAACUUUCCUUUAAAAUAUAAUAUAAACCACAUGAUUUAUAUCCUGGGUCGGCUAUCUCCACAAAGGGCAAGAAAACGCUCCAAGUUUGUAGUAUAGAACUAAAAGUGUCGAUUCUCACGAUUUCUUCCCGACAUAUACAAACUAGACAGUAAUCACAUAAAAUAAAGAAAUAUGUGUUAACACGAACAUAUAGCAUGUAUUUCAACAUAUAGAUUGUUGAUUAUUAUGGUAGAUUAUAUAAAAUAGGGGUUCCCGAAGAAAUACAUAAAAACAAGAGCAUUGAAAUUUCCUUUUCAGAUCUGGCUAUCUGGUAAAAGGAGUUGGAGUAACUGAGUUUCCAAAUUUGUGACGUAGCUCUAUAGAAGGAAUAUAAAUACGUUGGAAAAAUUCUACAAGGAAAGGUUUAAUACAAGUAGGGCUAAGAAAAACUCAAUGAGGCUUUGGUCGCAUGGUCACAAAACUUGAGACAAGAAACACGAAGACACCAAGGUAAUUAGUAUGAGAGUUUUCCAAAUUUGGUGUCUUGAUGUAGAAAAAAUAAAUAUAUGACAAACUUGUUUUUUCGCAAGGCAUGGAUAAAUAAGUGGGGGCGAGCAAUAAAUUUCAUCCUAGAUUUAGAAGGAAUAAAUAUAUCACUAAAUACGUUUUUUCAUAAUGCCAAGUUAAUCAGGUGGGAGCGAGAAACAAUUCUAGCGAGGCUAGGUUGUACUAGCCCAAAACUACAUACAACAGAGGAAAAAUGAAGAAAAUGAUGGUCUACCAAAUAUGGCGCAUGAGCCUUAAGGUGCACCUAGAGGGAAGUAGAAGAAAUAAAUAUAUAAUAGCAUAUGUUUUUCGCAAUGCAAGGUAAAGUGUAGAUGUGCUCUAACUGGGCUUAGAUUGCAGCGACACAUUAUGCAUCUACAAGGCUUGGUUGCACAUGGAAAAAGAUAGAGAGAGAAAUGUAGACACAGGACCGGGAGAAAAACAUUCAAUGAGACAUGAUUGCACGGACAUAGAACUAGAUAUAAGACAAGAGUUAAAGAAAAAUAAAGGAACUAAAUUUUCUUCUGCACACUCAGCAUGAAUGGAGUUGUAGUAUCUGAGAUCAAAAUUUAAUUUAUUCCAAGAUGCAGAACAAAAACGUGAUACUCGUAAUGGUUACAUAGGAACAAAAGUAGAUAAGAAAAAUAGCAAAAAGAUAGUGGUCUACCAGAGAGGGCACAUGUGCCUCAAUUGGCCUAUAGCAUAGCGACUCAUUAUCCUUCCACCGCUGGUGGCGGGCGGUACUCGCUGCUCUGUGAAGCCAGCCUCACGCAAUGUCCGCCACUUUAGGUGUUGGGAUGCAAAGGCUUUCGCCAAGGCAUCCGAAACCCACUACACAACUUGGAAUGGGUGGUCCAAAGUUUGUAGCACUAGACCCAGGCACAUGCACCACAAUUGACAUCCACACUACCUUAUUGCCCCCGCUCGGGUUACAAGCAAUCGCUACUUGCUCAGCGAGUGAGGGGGUUCAACACUACCUAUUUAAGGUGGUGUUGUACUCUAUAAGCCGGCGGUGUGGUAUUUACCAACUACAAAUAGUGUCAUGCAUGUGACUUGCUAGUUGACAAUGUCUGUUGUCGAGCUAGAUGUGGGCUAUGGAUGAAGCACAUUAUGAUAUAGUAGGCCUAUUUUGUUUUUUGUUGUUUUUGGGCCACUAUGGACUUUAUGUUGAUGUUGUGAAAUUUUUUCUUGUGUUUCCUCUUCCUACGAUGUGUAAAGUGGGUGUGUUAGAGAAGAAAGAAAGAGUGGCUAGCAUUGAUUUUACGUCAUACCAUUGAGAACACUAAUCAGAAGCAGAAGCAACAAUAUUUCAUACAUAUACAACACUUGUAAUCCAUAUAAACAACUUUCCUUUAAAAUAUAAUAUAAACCACAUGAUUUAUAUCCUGGGUCGGCUAUCUCCACAAAGGGCAAGAAAACGCUCCAAGUUUGUAGUAUAGAACUAAAAGUGUCGAUUCUCACGAUUUCUUCCCGACAUAUACAAACUAGACAGUAAUCACAUAAAAUAAAGAAAUAUGUGUUAACACGAACUUAUAGCAUGUAUUUCAACAUAUAGAUUGUUGAUUAUUAUGGUAGAUUAUAUAAAAUAGGGGUUCCCAAAGAAAUACAUAAAACAAGAGCAUUAAAAUUUCCUUUUCAGAUCUGGCUAUCUGGUAAAAGGAGUUGGAGUAACUGAGUUUCCAAAUUUGUGACGUAGCUCUAUAGAAGGAAUAUAAAUACGUUGGAAAAAUUCUACAAGGAAAGGUUUAAUACAAGUAGGGCUAAGAAAAACUCAAUGAGGCUUUGGUCGCAUGGUCACAAAACUUGAGACAAGAAACACGAAGACACAAAGGUAAUUAGUAUGAGAGUUUUCCAAAUUUGGUGUCUUGAUGUAGAAAAAAUAAAUAUAUGACAAACUUGUUUUUUCGCAAGGCAUGGAUAAAUAAGUGGGGGUGAGCAAUAAAUUUCAACCUAGAUUUAGAAGGAAUAAAUAUAUCACUAAAUACAUUUUUUACAAUGCCAAGUUAAUCAGGUAGGAGCGAGAAACAAUUCUAGCGAGGCUAGGUUGUACUAGCCCAAAACUACAUACAAAAGAGGAAAAAUGAAGAAAAUGAUGGUCUACCAAAUAUGGCACAUGAGCCUUAAGGUGCACCUAGAGGGAAGUAGAAGAAUAAAUAUAUAAUAGCAUAUGUUUUUCGCAAUGCAAGGUAAAGUGUAGAUGUGCUCUAACUGGGCUUAGAUUGCAGCGACACAUUAUGCAUCUACAAGGCUUGGUUGCACAUGGAAAAAGAUAGAGAGAGAAAUGUAGACGCAGGACCGGGAGAAAAACAUUCAAUGAGACGUGAUUGCACGGACAUAGAACUAGAUAUAAGACAAGAGUUAAAGAAAAAAGGAACUAAAUUUUCUUGUGCACACUAAGCAUGAAUGGAGUUGUAGUAUCUGAGAUCAAAAUUUAAUUUAUUCCAAGAUGCAGAACAAAAACGUGAUACUCGUAAUGGUUACAUAGGAACAAAAGUAGAUAAGAAAAAUAGCAAAAAGAUAUUGGUCUACCAGAGAGGGCACAUGUGCCUCAAUUGGCCUAUAGCAUAGUGGCUCAUUAUCCUUCAACCGCUGGUGGCGGGCGGUACUCGCUGCUCUGUGAAGCCAGCCUCACGCAAUGUCCGCCACUUUAGGUGUUGGGAUGCAAAGGCUUUCGCCAAGGCAUCCGAAACCCACUACACAACUUGGAAUGGGUGGUCCACAGUUUGUAGCACUAGACCCAGGCACAUGCACCACAAUUGACAUUCACACUACC